Molecule: ribosomal RNA, 492 nt
Filed under: uncultured bacterium
Lineage: Bacteria
Description: partial 16S ribosomal RNA
Rfam family: Bacterial small subunit ribosomal RNA
Source: RNAcentral
AGUGAACGCUGGCGGUAGGCCUAACACAUGCAAGUCGAACGGCAGCACAGUAAGAGCUUGCUCUUACGGGUGGCGAGUGGCGGACGGGUGAGGAAUACAUCGGAAUCUACUUUUUCGUGGGGGAUAACGUAGGGAAACUUACGCUAAUACCGCAUACGACCUACGGGUGAAAGCAGGGGAUAUUCGGACCUUGCGCGAUUGAAUGCGCCGAUGUCGGAUUAGCUAGUUGGCGGGGUAAAGGCCCACCAAGGCGACGAUCCGUAGCUGGUCUGAGAGGAUGAUCAGCCACACUGGAACUGAGACACGGUCCAGACUCCUACGGGAGGCAGCAGUGGGGAAUAUUGGACAAUGGGCGCAAGCCUGAUCCAGCCAUACCGCGUGGGUGAAGAAGGCCUUCGGGUUGUAAAGCCCUUUUGUUGGGAAAGAAAAGCAGCAGGUUAAUACCCCGCUGUUCUGACGGUACCCAAAGAAUAAGCACCGGCUAACUUCGUG